RNAcentral lists this ribosomal RNA (424 nucleotides) under Verrucomicrobiota bacterium. RNAcentral describes it as "Verrucomicrobia bacterium partial 16S ribosomal RNA". It matches the Rfam family "Bacterial small subunit ribosomal RNA", at positions 355 to 776 of the family's 1533-position model. Lineage: Bacteria; Pseudomonadati; Verrucomicrobiota. The record is from RNAcentral.
UGAGGAAUAUUGGUCAAUGGACGAGAGUCUGAACCAGCCAAGUAGCGUGCAGGAUGACGGCCCUAUGGGUUGUAAACUGCUUUUAUGUGGGGAUAAAGUGCGUGACGUGUCAUGCAUUGCAGGUACCACAUGAAUAAGGACCGGCUAAUUCCGUGCCAGCAGCCGCGGUAAUACGGAAGGUCCGGGCGUUAUCCGGAUUUAUUGGGUUUAAAGGGAGCGUAGGCCGCGUUUUAAGCGUGUUGUGAAAUGUAGACGCCCAACGUCUGCAUCGCAGCGCGAACUGGGACGCUUGAGUACGCGCAACGUUGGCGGAAUUCGUCGUGUAGCGGUGAAAUGCUUAGAUAUGACGAGGAACUCCGAUUGCGAAGGCAGCUGACGGGAGCGGCACUGACGCUUAAGCUCGAAGGUGCGGGUAUCAAACAGG